AUACGGAGGAUCCGAGCGUUAUCCGGAUUUAUUGGGUUUAAAGGGAGCGUAGGCGGACGCUUAAGUCAGUUGUGAAAGUUUGCGGCUCAACCGUAAAAUUGCAGUUGAUACUGGGUGUCUUGAGUACAGUAGAGGCAGGCGGAAUUCGUGGUGGAGCGGGGAAAUGCUUAGAUAUAACGAAGAACUCCGAUUGCGAAGGCAGCCUGCUGGACUGUAACUGACGCUGAUGCUCGAAAGUGUGGGUAUCAAACAGGAUUAGAUACCCUGGUAGUCCACACAGUAAACGAUGAAUACUCGCUGUUUGCGAUAUACAGUAAGCGGCCAAGCGAAAGCGUUAAGUAUUCCACCUGGGGAGUACGCCGGCAACGGUGAAACUCAAAGGAAUGGACGGGG
RNAcentral lists this ribosomal RNA (393 nucleotides) under uncultured bacterium. RNAcentral describes it as "partial 16S ribosomal RNA". It matches the Rfam family "Bacterial small subunit ribosomal RNA", at positions 523 to 918 of the family's 1533-position model. The record is from RNAcentral.